This 247-nucleotide ribosomal RNA is filed under the name uncultured Gardnerella sp. RNAcentral describes it as "partial 16S ribosomal RNA". It matches the Rfam family "Bacterial small subunit ribosomal RNA", at positions 108 to 354 of the family's 1533-position model. Lineage: Bacteria; Bacillati; Actinomycetota; Actinomycetes; Bifidobacteriales; Bifidobacteriaceae. The record is from RNAcentral.
GAGUAAUGCGUGACCAACCUGCCCCAUGCUCCAGAAUAGCUCUUGGAAACGGGUGGUAAUGCUGGAUGCUCCAACUUGACGCAUGUCUUGUUGGGAAAGUGUUUAGUGGCAUGGGAUGGGGUCGCGUCCUAUCAGCUUGUAGGCGGGGUAAUGGCCCACCUAGGCUUCGACGGGUAGCCGGCCUGAGAGGGCGGACGGCCACAUUGGGACUGAGAUACGGCCCAGACUCCUACGGGAGGCAGCAGNU